CUUGACCGAUCCCAGCCACAGCGGCCCGGAGGAAUGGGGCCCAGUCCGGUCCUGGCCGUAGGUCGCCAGCAAUGCCUGCGCCUC
This 84-nucleotide antisense RNA is filed under the name Lentzea waywayandensis. RNAcentral's name for it is "ASpks TB sRNA". It matches the Rfam family "ASpks TB sRNA". The record is from RNAcentral. Lineage: Bacteria; Bacillati; Actinomycetota; Actinomycetes; Pseudonocardiales; Pseudonocardiaceae.